Molecule: ribosomal RNA, 534 nt
Filed under: uncultured bacterium
Lineage: Bacteria
Description: partial 16S ribosomal RNA
Rfam family: Bacterial small subunit ribosomal RNA
Source: RNAcentral
UGGGGAAUUUUGGACAAUGGGGGAAACCCUGAUCCAGCCAUCCCGCGUGUGCGAUGAAGGCCUUCGGGUUGUAAAGCACUUUUGGCAGGAAAGAAACGUCGCGGGUUAAUACCCCGCGAAACUGACGGUACCUGCAGAAUAAGCACCGGCUAACUACGUGCCAGCAGCCGCGGUAAUACGUAGGGUGCAAGCGUUAAUCGGAAUUACUGGGCGUAAAGCGUGCGCAGGCGGUUCGGAAAGAAAGAUGUGAAAUCCCAGAGCUUAACUUUGGAACUGCAUUUUUAACUACCGGGCUAGAGUGUGUCAGAGGGAGGUGGAAUUCCGCGUGUAGCAGUGAAAUGCGUAGAUAUGCGGAGGAACACCGAUGGCGAAGGCAGCCUCCUGGGAUAACACUGACGCUCAUGCACGAAAGCGUGGGGAGCAAACAGGAUUAGAUACCCUGGUAGUCCACGCCCUAAACGAUGUCAACUAGCUGUUGGGGGCCUUCGGGCCUUGGUAGCGCAGCUAACGCGUGAAGUUGACCGCCUGGGGAGU